GACCGCGAUCGAUAGAAUCGAUAGAAUCCAAAUCUCCUGAAAAUGGUGGUGUCACUGAAUGAUAUUCGUCUUUAUCUUUCCCAGGGGACUUAUGUCAAACACCAGCAGGCUUCGAAACAUUUCAAGCGGAGUGUUAGGGCCGCUGCUGGGAACUUCUGUCUUCGUGAAGAGGUCCUGUACCAUGGGAACAGAAGGGUCAUUUGGACAGAGGAGGAGAAAGUGGCUGUGUUAACCAAAGCCCAUGCAUGCAGGCCAUUUUGGACCACGGAGGAUGCAAGCGAAGAUUGCUCCCCGGUUUUAUUGGCGGUCCAUCACAAAGGACACAUUGGAUUGGGUGCGCACAUGUCCUGACUGCCAGCGCUUUGAAAAAUGAAAGACCGAGGCGCCUGAGCUGAAGCCCAUCAAGGUCGUAUCACCUUGGUACAUGGUUGUACUCCCUCUGGCUCUGUACGGACACUACUUUUCACUACAGUGUGCUGGACAUGCAGUCAAUCCGGCGUUGGUGGUGUGUCCUUCUAAUGGAGCGCUUUGGCAUUGAAGGGUAGGACAACUUCUUGAAAUAUCUGCUGUAUUGUUUAUCAUGAUUAGUAACUGCCUGCGAUGAGGUGGCGACUUGUCCAGGGUGUACCCUGCCUUCCGCCCGAAUGCAGCUGAGAUAGGCUACAGCGACCCCCCGCGACCCCAAAAAGGGACAAGCGGUAGAAAAUGGAUGGAUGGAUGGAUGGAUGGAUUAGUAACUGUAAUCUGAAGAGCUUUUCUUCAAUUUCCCCAAAGGCAUGGCCAGAGGUUCUGUUAUUGGACAGACAAGGCGAGCGGCUUAUUGCAGGGCAUUCUUCAGCCAGUCUUUAGUGUAUCCAGAAACUCAGUCCAGGCCAUCGACUGCGUCAUCAAAGAUUAACUGAAUACAGUACUGGUGCAGCUCGCGCAAUGUUUGGAACAAAACAUUUGUAGACAAUAAAAAAACAUUUUACAUUGC
Entelurus aequoreus (snake pipefish) is the source of this 976-nucleotide long non-coding RNA. RefSeq lists it as uncharacterized. The transcript is spliced from 6 exons. The record is from RefSeq and is a predicted model, not a curated record. NCBI's taxonomy places the organism in Eukaryota, Metazoa, Chordata, Actinopteri, Syngnathiformes, Syngnathidae.